AAUCAACGCUGGCGGCGUGGAUAAGACAUGCAAGUCGAACGCUUAUUUCCUGGUAGCAAUAUUAGGGAGUAGGAGUGGCGCAAGGGUGCGUAACACGUGGAUCAUCUGCCUGGAAGUCUGGAAUAAUUCCGCGAAAGCGGGACUAAUGCCGGAUGUGGUUGGAAGACUAAAGUUGGGGACCGCAAGGCCUGACGCUUCCAGAUGAGUCCGCGGCCUAUCAGCUAGUUGGCGGGGUAAUGGCCCACCAAGGCUAAGACGGGUAGCUGGUCUGAGAGGACGACCAGCCUCACUGGAACUGAGACACGGUCCAGACACCUACGGGUGGCAGCAGUCGAGAAUUUUUCNCAAUGGGGGAAACCCUGAAGGAGCGACGCCGCGUGGGGGAUGAAGGGCUUCGG
This 398-nucleotide ribosomal RNA is filed under the name uncultured bacterium. Its description in RNAcentral is "bacterial SSU rRNA". It matches the Rfam family "Bacterial small subunit ribosomal RNA", at positions 32 to 421 of the family's 1533-position model. The record is from RNAcentral.